AGAUGGGAGGGUGAUGUGACUUUGACAUCUGUCACCUCAUUGACUGCCAGGAUUGAUUCUGCUCUUCUGGCUGGCUGGGGAGUGUCCUCAUCCUCCCUUACCACUUAGUGUGUCUCUCUCCUAAAGCUGUGCGCUUGGUCAAAGAGGACAAUCUUCCCCAAUAGAGAAGAAACUUCUCCAGUCAAGGGUAUGCAAGCAGCUAUGCUCUCCUGCUGAAACCUCCAAACAAUCUUUCAAGGUCCAUCUGUCGGAGAAUGUAGAGUGUCAUGCUUCCAGGACAUUAGAGGAUGUGAAAGUCUGCCUU
This 304-nucleotide small nuclear RNA is filed under the name Carlito syrichta (Philippine tarsier). Its description in RNAcentral is "7SK RNA (ENSTSYG00000021790.2)". It matches the Rfam family "7SK RNA". From Rfam's summary of the family: 7SK was discovered as an abundant small nuclear RNA in the mid-70s but a possible function has only recently been suggested. Two independent studies have found that 7SK RNA binds the CDK9/cyclin T complex (known as elongation factor P-TEFb). The record is from RNAcentral. Lineage: Eukaryota; Metazoa; Chordata; Mammalia; Primates; Tarsiidae.